UGUAUUUCAGCAUAAAAACGACCAUAAUUAUUGAUGUUUUGUGCUUUUGGACAUAAACUUUGCAGUGAUUUUGGCGUGAGUUCAUUGAAUGUAGCAAAAACAUUUAUUGUUUCCGAAAAAGAAAAUCACAAAACUAAAAUUGUCGGCCAUUUUUGUUCUAGCAAAAUUUCAAUAUUUUUACUUAUGGCAAACACUUUUAAUUGCGUAUUUUUCACU
Molecule: long non-coding RNA, 216 nt
Organism: Bradysia coprophila
Lineage: Eukaryota; Metazoa; Arthropoda; Insecta; Diptera; Sciaridae
Source: RefSeq, a predicted model, not a curated record